UAAUCUUCUGCGAUGAAGAUCUGUUUUUUUUUUUUGCAAGAUGUUAUGCUAGCUUUGCUAAGGUAGGUAGUCGUCUUCUGGCUCUUGUAGAUAGCUGGAGGUGAAUGUGUAAUGCCUUUACGUUCCUGCAUUAUAAUCGAAUUAGAUGACAUUUCUGAAUUCUUUAGAUGACAUUUCUGUCUUUUGCUUUGACUGUUUACUGUUGGGUUUAUUUUAUCGCACCCUAUUCAGCUCCUUUACUUUACAGUAAUGGGGAGAAAAAAGGCAAUGGUUUCACUAGGGAAUACUGUGGAAGGCAAAUGUAAGUG
This 308-nucleotide long non-coding RNA is filed under the name Setaria viridis. RNAcentral describes it as "long non-coding RNA (SVIR_LNC011131)". Lineage: Eukaryota; Viridiplantae; Streptophyta; Magnoliopsida; Poales; Poaceae. The record is from RNAcentral.